GAUGAAGAACGUAGCGAAAUGCGAUACGUAGUGUGAAUUGCAGAAUUCAGUGAAUCAUCGAAUCUUUGAACGCACAUUGCACCUCUCGGUAUUCCGGGAGGUAUGCCUGUUCGAGCGUCAUUUGUACCCUCAAGCUCUGCUUGGUGUUGGGUGUUUGUUCCGCCUCUGUGUGUGAACUCGCCUCAAAACAAUUGGCAGCCGGCGUACUUGUUUCGGAGCGCAGCACAUUUUGCGAUCCAGAUCAACGUACAGCGGCAUCCAAGAAGCCUUAUUUAACGCUCUUGACCUCGGAUCAGGUAGGGAUACCCGCUGAACUUAAGCAUAUCAAUAGGAGGA
RNAcentral lists this unclassified non-coding RNA (336 nucleotides) under soil metagenome. RNAcentral describes it as "partial contains 5.8S ribosomal RNA, internal transcribed spacer 2, and large subunit ribosomal RNA". The stretch from base 1 to 120 matches the Rfam family "5.8S ribosomal RNA", at positions 35 to 154 of the family's 154-position model. The record is from RNAcentral.